AACUAUAUUAGAAUGUUUGCGUUCGGGCAGACCAUAAAGAAAUGUCCCUUUUCUACCUAGGGUUUGACUGCAAGCAUCUCCGCAUUAGGACAAUCGGGCAGAACGGAGCUUAUGGGAUUGACUCACACUAUUUCCCCCAGUCAAGCUAAGAGAACGAUCUCAUUCAGUACAAUACACCGCCCACUGACCCGUUAACAGGAGAUGCCUCUUCAAGUUCUCACGGGUGUAGCAAUGGUAGAAAAGCUUCCUGCAUCUUGUGUUCUAGCAACUCUCCAGAUCAGACGUCAGCGCCCCGCAGAGAGCCAGCCUUGCUAGGCAUGGCAUGUGGCUGCAGUUAGAGUCUGCCAUCCAACUUUCCUCCCUCCCAGCUGCCUGCCUUUAUCAGCUGCAACAGCCAUGACGGUGCCACUCCCACGCAAUUCAGCAUACAGCGUUCCGGGGGUUCCUAAGCAUUGGGUUGGAACCAAGCAACAGACGGAGAGGUUCUGUUGCGGAGAGGCUGUAAGGAGAGGUGGACAGCGAGGCAGGGAGCCAAAUGGGCCGUCUGGAAGAUGGAGGUCCCGAGAGCAGGGUGGUUCCGCUGUGGAGAUUCCUAGGAAGCUGCGGUUUUCACGCCCUCCCUUUCUUGUCUUUCCCUUCCUUCCUGUGACCGAUGCCCACUCGGAGGAAGCCUCCGCUGCUCGUUUCCUGGCAAUAGCCGCCUGUCUUCUCGGCCCCACAGCAAAGGAGGGGAUGCCAUCUCUUCUCGCUCAUGAAGAAGUCAUUUGAGGAAGACAAAGCUUUAUUUAAAUCACCCGUAUGUGCUACAAGAACUACUCAAAGUUGUUUUUAGGCUGCUGUUGAGAACGGAAGAACAGAAGCAGAAGCUGAAGAGAAAUACCCCGCCCUUCACUGUUCAUUCCUUAAGUAUGUUUGUUACAUUGGGCAAUGACAAGACUCAGCACAAGGCCAACAAGCAAAUCCCAAGCUUAUCACAUCUCUCUUUAAAUGUCUUCAACAACUUUAUAUCUAAAUGUCUUAACGAUGAGUGUUAUAUUGACAUUUCAGGGCUCUAAAUAAGGUAAGAUCCUAUCACAUUGGAACAAACCAGCUGAUAACACCCGAUAUGUAAAUGCAAAGGAAUAUUGCUUUGGUUUAGCCUAAUAUCAUUGUACUGCAUUAAUGUUAUAAAACUCGAGACAAAAAUUGGUACCAAUUAUGUUGCUUCUACGAAAAACUAAUAUUCAGUAACAUCUGAAACUCGCUGAUCUAGUAUUUUUUUAAUUAUAAUAACAGACUUCUUUGAUCAUGCAAGCAAGAACAAUAUAAGACUAACAAACUCUAUUACAUCUACAGGUGGUACAGUGGAAAAUAUGUAGAUAGACAUACAUACACGUGCACACACAUACAUAGUAGGUGUGGGCCCAUUUUUGUGCGGUUGCUGGGGCCAUAUAUCUGUCAAAAACAAACAUGGAUCUGAGAAGUCACAUUUUCGACAAGGGGGAGAUGAAAGUAAAAAAGAUGACAGUCCACCGUCUCAAUGGGACAAGUCUUUUCACUUGGGAACAGGUCUCUAGAUAUUCAUAUUUUUAUGAGAUAUUGCUCAGGAGGCAGGUUCUUGAGUAGACAGAAAAAAAAAAGAAACAGAUAUGGGUGGAAGUGGGUAGGACAGGAGAGAAAGAACAGGAAGUCAGAACAAAGAACAGACCAGAUGAGACCAGCAUUAAGAGAAAAUUGAGGACAAUUGGGGCAUCUCCGCUAGGGAUUUUUCUGUAAACUCUCUCGCAUCUGGGCACUUUGGCAUAGGCCUCGACAAACAAGGCUUGCCAGGUCACCAGGCAAGCAGGGUUUCUUGGGGUCAGUGGUGGGCCCAGUUAGGGAGUCUGGUUUGUAAGCACACUGUCUUUUAAUGAAUGGGAUGAGUCUACCCUGGACAGUGGCGUGACAUAUGGAUUCAGACUUUUCCUGGAUUGUGUUUCAAACUUUUGACUGCACAAGGGGGAGAGUUAGAUAAUGCACGAUAGCAAAGCAGGCAUGGCUGAUGUACUAUUUUUCUUCCCCUAAAUCGAAUACAGAGUAUGUUUUUUUAAUUUAUUUAUUGUUUGUUUUAUUUUAUUUGAUUUUGCUUCGUCUUGCAUGGAAAAUAAGAGGAAAAAAAAGACAUAUUCAUUGAAAAUAUAACAGACAUAGCUUACUCAAACUGGGAACUUAGUCCGUGACAGAAGCCCACGCAAAGCUAGGAGCAGCUUGGAGCAGAGGGGCGACAUUAAGUGCAAAGUUAAAGCAGUAGACAGGCUGGACAGCAUUUUGAGUUCGUGACUCAGCUGCGUAAUCUCAGUAUGUGAUGACAUCUCACAUUUCAGGGUCUCCGCUGUGAUAGUGAGGAUAACUGUUCUUUUUUUCUUUUUUCUUUGUAAGGUCAUGAAGUAUGUGUACACGUGCAUUCGUGCACUCAGACAAGGGAAUAUAUAAACAUGCGACCAAAUUAUACCAUCUAAAGACAAAAUCCUGGUAAAAUAGUCUCUAUGUUCCACUUUUAAGUUAUGCUUAGGAAUGAAAACUGGGAUCAAUAGCUUAGUUGGAGACAUGUUUAAGUAUUGGAAUUCUGAGUUUCUCCACUCUACGGGGCAGCAAUCAAGUUGUCAUUGAUUUAUACAAGCUUUGUGUUUCUAUGUGCCCUUAGGGAGGUCUGAAACAGUUUUCUGUGUCUUAGAUUCUUCUUUAUCUUUUCAUUUUGCGCUCAGUACGUUUGGUUUUCAAGUUGGUUCUACGUCAGCUGCACUUCUUUUCGUAUAACCCACUGGCUCACUUGGCGUCUAAACCCGAGAGACAGGACGAUGAACUCAACUUGGCUUAGGGCCGCCCCAAGCGCCAGUGAUGAUCUCCCCUUAUGCCUGUAGGCCAGGUGAGGAUUGAUGAGCUACACUUUCUCUUUUCAAAGAGCGGAUCCCACACUUGUCUUCAGAGAAGGUGGCAUCAUACAGAUACCAAGGCGCAUUACAGUCUUCAUGUUUUAAUUUCAUAACGCUUCUUAUUUUCCCAUUUUCUGAAAUAAGUUUGGGGGAAAUUCUCUGAUUUACUAUAGAACUGUAUAAGUGAAUGAAAGUCUUCAUGGCUUAUAGAUGUGAUAAAAAAAAAAAAACCUCAAAGAGUUACUCUGGACAUUUUAAAAAAGAGAGUAAAUUCAGUUUUGUUUUUUUUUUAAACGGAUCUACACUGGCCUUUUGGCUGCCAUGAGACAUAAAUGAUGCAUUGGGUUUGGAGUCUAGUUCUUGCCAACCACGCGUUUACACACUCAAGAGGUCAAACAAAUCCCCGACUUUGCUCCUUGUCUCAAACUGAACCUUAGCUAUCACUCAGGAAUCAUGGUUCAAUUUCCUGUUGAAACUGGAUGAAAUCUCUAUUCUCUUGUGAUCUCAUCCCUGUUCAAAUAAAAAUUACCUUUUUUCUGGGCUUGGAAUUUGCUAUUAAGCUAUGAUAUUUGCUGCUCUUUCGAAAAUAUAUAGAAGGUUUUCAUUUAGGAGAACACAAUCUUUCCCAUUACAUUUAAAUCACUGCGAUUAGCACUUGCCAUGUUAAAGUUAAAAGGUAUUUGUUGUUGACACCAAGUGUGUUAACACUGAUGGCGUCCAAAUGUUCUACUUGGAACUAAGAUGUUAUUAAUGAGGGCUAGAAUGGAAGCAUUUCUACACCUUAUAUAACAUCUAUUAUCACUUUGGGCAUAGCGAUUCUGGUAGGUAAAGUUAGUGCUUCAUAAUUUGAAUGAAAAGUGGCCUUUUACAGAGAAAAGAGUGUUUAAAGAGAUGUGGGCAUUCUAUGUUAGAGAGGAAAAUAGUCUUAGGACAUAAACAAUACUCAUCUUAAUAUAAAAAUGAGUAAUAUAAGUUGUGCCUGUCCUACAGGGAAACACAUGCCUUUUCACGUGGCUAUUGAAAUGCUCUCACUGGGCGGAGCUAAGACUCACGGAGAUCACAUGGCUAUUGAAAUGCUCUCACUGGGCGGAGCUAAGACUCGCGGAGAAUAGACGGCUAUACUCAGUCCGCCACGAGACUCGGAGUCAAAGGGAGGGACUAGCGCUGCCCUCAGCCUGGGUGAUGCCCAAGUCCAGUUACUGACCUUGUGAUACAGAGGACCACCACACAGAUGACAGCAAUCUGAACC
This is a non-coding RNA of Myodes glareolus (Bank vole), 4140 nucleotides long. The record is from RefSeq and is a predicted model, not a curated record. Lineage: Eukaryota; Metazoa; Chordata; Mammalia; Rodentia; Cricetidae.